Molecule: ribosomal RNA, 415 nt
Filed under: bacterium enrichment culture clone ALO1_GLFRUDD03FRMDG
Lineage: Bacteria
Description: bacterial SSU rRNA
Rfam family: Bacterial small subunit ribosomal RNA
Source: RNAcentral
GAGUUUGAUCUUGGCUCAGAUUGAACGCUGGCGGCAUGCCUUACACAUGCAAGUCGAACAGCAGCACGGGAGCUUGCUCCUGGUGGCGAGUGGCGAACGGGUGAGUAAUGCAUCGGAACGUAUCCUGGAGUGGGGGAUAACGUAGCGAAAGUUACGCUAAUACCGCAUAUUCUGUGAGCAGGAAAGCGGGGGACCUUCGGGCCUCACGCUCUUGGAGCGGCCGAUGUCGGAUUAGCUAGUUGGUGAGGUAAAGGCUCACCAAGGCGACGAUCCGUAGCAGGUCUGAGAGGAUGAUCUGCCACACUGGAACUGAGACACGGUCCAGACUCCUACGGGAGGCAGCAGUGGGGAAUUUUGGACAAUGGGGGCAACCCUGAUCCAGCCAUGCCGCGUGAGUGAAGAAGGCCUCGGUUGU